ACAGUGGACGCGAGCAUCUGUGGCCAAGUUUUUAAGGGCGCACGGUGGAUGCCUUGGCACCAGGAACCGAUGAAGGACGUGGGAGGCCACGAUAGUCCCCGGGGAGUCGUCAACCAGGCUUUGAUCCGGGGGUUUCCGAAUGGGGAAACCCGGCAGUCGUCAUGGGCUGUCACCCUUGCCUGAACACAUAGGGCAAGUGGAGGGAACGCGGGGAAGUGAAACAUCUCAGUACCCGCAGGAAGAGAAAACAACCGUGAUUCCGGGAGUAGUGGCGAGCGAAACUGGAUGAGGCCAAACCAUAUGCGUGUGAGACCCGGCAGGGGUUGCGUAUGUGGGGUUGUGGGAUUUCUCUUUCACGGUCUGCCGGCCGUGAGACGAGUCAGAAACCGUUGAUGUAGGCGAAGGACAUGCGAAAGGUCCGGCGUAGAGGGUAAGACCCCCGUAGUCGAAACGUCAACGGCUCGUUUGAGAAACACCCAAGUAGCACGGGGCCCGAGAAAUCCCGUGUGAAUCUGGCGGGACCACCCGCUAAGCCUAAAUAUUCCCUGGUGACCGAUAGCGGAUAGUACCGUGAGGGAAUGGUGAAAAGUACCGCGGGAGCGGAGUGAAAUAGUACCUGAAACCGUGUGCCUACAAGCCGUGGGAGCGUCGCGCAUUGAGUUUACUCAGUGCGUCGUGACUGCGUGCCUUUUGAAGAAUGAGCCUGCGAGUUUGCGGUGUGUUGCGAGGUUAACCCGUGUGGGGAAGCCGUAGCGAAAGCGAGUCCGAAUAGGGCGACAUAGUAGCGCGCUCAAGACCCGAAGCGGAGUGAUCUAGCCAUGGGCAGGUUGAAGCGGCUGUAAGAGGUCGUGGAGGACCGAACCCACCAGGGUUGAAAACCUGGGGGAUGACCUGUGGUUAGGGGUGAAAGGCCAAUCAAACUCCGUGAUAGCUGGUUCUCCCCGAAAUGCAUUUAGGUGCAGCGUCGUGUGUUUCUUGCCGGAGGUAGAGCACUGGAUAGGCGAUGGGCCCUACCGGGUUACUGACCUUAGCCAAACUCCGAAUGCCGGUAAGUGAGAGCGCGGCAGUGAGACUGUGGGGGAUAAGCUCCAUGGUCGAGAGGGAAACAGCCCAGAGCAUCGACUAAGGCCCCUAAGCGUACGCUAAGUGGGAAAGGAUGUGGAGUCGCAGAGACAACCAGGAGGUUGGCUUAGAAGCAGCCACCCUUGAAAGAGUGCGUAAUAGCUCACUGGUCUAGUGAUUCCGCGCCGACAAUGUAGCGGGGCUCAAGCGUACCGCCGAAGUCGUGUCAUUGCAGCAAUACGCCCAACGGCGGCUGUGAUGGGUAGGGGAGCGUCGUGUGCCGGGUGAAGCCGCGCCGGAAGGCAGUGGUGGACGGUUCACGAGUGAGAAUGCAGGCAUGAGUAGCGAUACACACGUGAGAAACGUGUGCGCCGAUUGACUAAGGGUUCCUGGGUCAAGCUGAUCUGCCCAGGGUAAGUCGGGACCUAAGGCGAGGCCGACAGGCGUAGUCGAUGGAUAACCGGUUGAUAUUCCGGUACCCGCUGUGAAGCGUCAAACAUCGAGCCCAUUAAUGCUAAGGCCGUGAAGCCGCCCUGAUCUCUUCGGAGUUGAGGGGAGUGGUGGAGCCGCCGACCCAAGGUGGUAGUAGGUGAGUGAUGGGGUGACGCAGGAAGGUAGUCCAUCCCGGGCGGUGGUUGUCCCGGGGUAAGGGUGUAGGACGUCAGGUAGGUAAAUCCGCCUGGCACAUAGUCUGAGACCUGAUGCCGAGCCGAUUGUGGUGAAGUGGAUGAUCCUAUGCUGUCGAGAAAAGCCUCUAGCGAGUUUCAUGGCGGCCCGUACCCUAAACCGACUCAGGUGGUCAGGUAGAGAAUACCGAGGCGUUCGGGUGAACUAUGGUUAAGGAACUCGGCAAAAUGCCCCCGUAACUUCGGGAGAAGGGGGGCCAUCACCGGUGAUGAGUCUUGCACUCUGAGCUGGGGGUGGCCGCAGAGACCAGCGAGAAGCGACUGUUUACUAAAAACACAGGUCCGUGCGAAGCCGUAAGGCGAUGUAUACGGACUGACGCCUGCCCGGUGCUGGAACGUUAAGGGGACCGGUUAGUCACUCUUCGGGGUGGCGAAGCUGAGAACUUAAGCGCCAGUAAACGGCGGUGGUAACUAUAACCAUCCUAAGGUAGCGAAAUUCCUUGUCGGGUAAGUUCCGACCUGCACGAAUGGCGUAACGACUUCUCGACUGUCUCAACCAUAGGCCCGGUGAAAUUGCACUACGAGUAAAGAUGCUCGUUUCGCGCAGCAGGACGGAAAGACCCCGGGACCUUUACUACAGUUUGAUAUUGGUGUUCGGUUCGGCUUGUGUAGGAUAGGUGGGAGACUUUGAAGCGGCAGCGCCAGCUGUUGUGGAGUCGUCGUUGAAAUACCACUCUGGUCGUGCUGGAUGUCUAACCUGGGUCCGUGAUCCGGAUCAGGGACAGUGUCUGAUGGGUAGUUUAACUGGGGCGGUUGCCUCCUAAAGAGUAACGGAGGCGCCCAAAGGUUCCCUCAGCCUGGUUGGUAAUCAGGUGUUGAGUGUAAGUGCACAAGGGAGCUUGACUGUGAGACCGACGGGUCGAGCAGGGACGAAAAGUCGGGACUAGUGAUCCGGCGGUGGCUUGUGGAAGCGCCGUCGCUCAACGGAUAAAAGGUACCCCGGGGAUAACAGGCUGAUCUUCCCCAAGAGUCCAUAUCGACGGGAUGGUUUGGCACCUCGAUGUCGGCUCGUCGCAUCCUGGGGCUGGAGUCGGUCCCAAGGGUUGGGCUGUUCGCCCAUUAAAGCGGUACGCGAGCUGGGUUUAGAACGUCGUGAGACAGUUCGGUCCCUAUCCGCUGUGCGCGUAGGAAUAUUGAGAAGGGCUGUCCCUAGUACGAGAGGACCGGGACGGACGAACCUCUGGUGUGCCAGUUGUCCUGCCAAGGGCAUGGCUGGUUGGCUACGUUCGGGAGGGAUAACCGCUGAAAGCAUCUAAGCGGGAAGCCUGCUUCGAGAUGAGUAUUCCCACCCCCUUGAGGGGUUAAGGCUCCCAGUAGACGACUGGGUUGAUAGGCCGGAUCUGGAAGGCGGGUAACCGCUGGAGGUGACCGGUACUAAUAGGCCGAGGGCUUGUCCUCAGUUG
This 3151-nucleotide ribosomal RNA is filed under the name Streptomyces sp. RLB1-33. RNAcentral describes it as "23S ribosomal RNA". It matches the Rfam family "Bacterial large subunit ribosomal RNA". The record is from RNAcentral. Lineage: Bacteria; Bacillati; Actinomycetota; Actinomycetes; Kitasatosporales; Streptomycetaceae.